RNAcentral lists this ribosomal RNA (484 nucleotides) under uncultured bacterium. RNAcentral's name for it is "partial 16S ribosomal RNA". It matches the Rfam family "Bacterial small subunit ribosomal RNA", at positions 29 to 507 of the family's 1533-position model. The record is from RNAcentral.
AUUGAACGCUGGCGGAAUGCUUUACACAUGCAAGUCGAACGGCAGCACGGGGGCAGCCCUGGUGGCGAGUGGCGAACGGGUGAGUAAUGCAUCGGAACGUGCCCGGUCGUGGGGGAUAACGUAGCGAAAGUUACGCUAAUACCGCAUACGAUCUGAGGAUGAAAGCGGGGGACCUUCGGGCCUCGCGCGAUCGGAGCGGCCGAUGUCAGAUUAGGUAGUUGGUGGGGUAAAGGCCUACCAAGCCGACGAUCUGUAGCUGGUCUGAGAGGACGACCAGCCACACUGGGACUGAGACACGGCCCAGACUCCUACGGGAGGCAGCAGUGGGGAAUUUUGGACAAUGGGCGCAAGCCUGAUCCAGCCAUUCCGCGUGCAGGACGAGGGCCUUCGGGUUGUAAACUGCUUUUGUACGGAACGAAAAGGCUCUGGCUAAUACCUGGGGCUCAUGACGGUACCGUAAGAAUAAGCACCGGCUAACUACGUG